CCUACGGGAGGCAGCAGUGGGGAAUAUUGGGCAAUGGGCGCAAGCCUGACCCAGCAACGCCGCGUGAAGGAAGAAGGCUUUCGGGUUGUAAACUUCUUUUCUGAGGGACGAAGAAAGUGACGGUACCUCAGGAAUAAGCCACGGCUAACUACGUGCCAGCAGCCGCGGUAAUACGUAGGGGGCAAGCGUUAUCCGGAUUUACUGGGUGUAAAGGGAGCGUAGACGGCGAUGCAAGUCUGAAGUGAAAGGCGGGGGCCCAACCCCCGGACUGCUUUGGAAACUGUAUGGCUGGAGUGCAGGAGAGGUAAGUGGAAUUCCUAGUGUAGGAGUGAAAUCCGUAGAUAUCUGGAGGAACAUCAGUGGCGAAGGCGACUAUCUGGCACAUAACUGACGCUGAGGAGCGAAAGCGUGGGUAGCAAACAGGAUUAGAUACCCGAGUAGUC
Molecule: ribosomal RNA, 443 nt
Filed under: uncultured bacterium
Lineage: Bacteria
Description: partial 16S ribosomal RNA
Rfam family: Bacterial small subunit ribosomal RNA
Source: RNAcentral